AUAUGGGUAUUGUAGCUGAAACGUCUUGCGAGCUGAGUCAGGGUCGGGGAAGCUGUGAUGGCAAUGAGAAGUCAACACACUGAGGAUGGAGAGAAAGAAGAUGAGUCUGGGAGAGAAAGAGAAUGAUUCUUCUGGCCGAGGGAAAGCAAGAAUAUCUGUUCCUGCAACUGCACUGAUUCUAGAAACACUCUCUAUUCGAACUCUCAUGAGAUGAAAAAACUGAGGUAUAGGAUGAUACAACUGGGCCAGGCAUGGUGGCUCACAUCUGUAAUACCAGCACUUUGGGAGGCCAAGGGAGGAGGAUCACUUGAACCCAGGUGUUUGAGACCAGCCUGAGAAAAACAGGAAGAACUCAUCUCUACAAAAAAAUUAUCUAGUGCUGACCUGCUUGGUGAAUGCUGGGAUCUCUGGAAGAGGGAGGCAGACAUCACACACCAGCUGGCAAGUGGGAGCUGGCAUGCAACAUGCCCCAAUACCACUCCCCUCCUGCCAUCCCUAUCUCCUAAUGGUGCCUCCUUUUGGCCAAACCCACCUUUGGCUGGAGGGCAACAGAGCCCAUUGACGUGGUCCCCUUGCAUCUGCUACCUGGGGAGAAAAGCAGGAUGGACACUGAAUCUAGAGAAAUGAAGAAACCCAUCCAGAAGAAUACUGCUUCUUUAUGUUUUUGUAGGUGUACAAAUCAGGCCUCCCCAUGAUAUUCUAAACUCCUUGAGGAAAGAAGUGGAGUCCUGGGCUUCUGAUGUAGCCUCCACAGUGCUCAGGGGAUAGCGACACUGGCACCCUAUAGAUAUUUAAUUACAUGUGGACUGGAAGAGACCAAACAGCUUCCUGGUAUUUCAAUCAAACCCGGUGCUCUAGACCUGUGGCUCACUCUGAGCAAACUAUAAUGAGUUGAACUUGAAUCUGAUUCCUGCUAAGAAAGGUUUCAUUUUAAUAGGCAGUAAGGCUAUGAGCUAACACCAGAAUUCAUUCGAGUUACUAGACUCACUGAAACUCCUCACAGGAUCCAUCUUUCAUGUUUUCUAGAUUUUGGUAUUCUUAUCUAAACUGCAGACCCAGAAACCCUAUGGACCCUACCUUUCCAAUUAUAUUUCUGGGAAGAGUCAUUCUCUGCAGAGCUGAAGCAUGUAACAGAAAGUUCUCAACCUGAAAAAUAUACCUUCUGCGCCCAAGCCCCACUUUCUGCCACUAUUUGGUAAUCUCAAGUGGGUGAGGUGGUCUCUGAACUUCAGCGCUCUCAUGGUCAGAGCCACAAGGGGUUACUGGGAGGCUAAAGGGAAGUGGCAAACGUGGCUGAGAUUCAGAAAGAAAAGCAGCAAGUGUAGAGAGGCAAGGACUUUUCCAUCUUUUAAAUUCCUUAAAGGAAGCCAAAGUUCAUUUUCCAGUCUCCUUCAGAUGCCUCUCCAAUCCUUCACAGCAGCGCACACAUACCGCAGAAGGAACUCACCAUCACAAAAAGAUGACAGAGCACUGGGGGCUGGGGUGCCACUUGUGUUGGCUGAGAGCCUGGAUGCAUGUGAGGUCAAGCCUGACCUUGGGAAAGCUGCUCUCUGGACAUUACUUGCUGUGCCACAUACACAGCUUGGGUUUCUGAGGAAACAACACAGGCUCUAAGGAGGAACUGGAACGGGGCCCAGGGUAUAUCUUUUACAGCCCGUACUUUUGAGGAAAAUAGAAGACAAAAGGUUUUUAAAAAACACAAAGUGUAUACACGUAUACACAAAGUUUACAAGUUUGUGUGUUUUAACAUCUACUCUCCUUAAGAACAAGUAGACAGGAAAGAUAUUACCUGAUAUGGGUUAAAUUGUGUCCCCAAAAACAUGUUUUGAAGUGCUAACCUUUGGUACCUGUGGAUAUGACCUUACUUGGAAAUAGGUUUUUGCAGACGUAACCAAGUUAAGAUGAGGUCAUAUUUGAUUAGGCUGAACCCUGAAUCCAGUAUGACUGGGGUCCUUAUAUAAACAAGAGAGACACACGCAGAGUGAAGAUGAUGUGUUGAAACACAGGAACAGUGUCAUGGGAUGCUGGGGACAGCAGUUGGAGUGAUGCAUCUAUGGGCCAAGGGAAUGCCAAGGAUUGCCAGCCAUCACCAGGACAGAAGCAUGGGUACUGAUGCCCUCACAGAGCCCUUGAAGAGAGUCAACCCUGCUGACACCUUGAUUUCAGACUUCCAGCCUCCAGAACUAAGUUCCUCACAGGAAGUGUUUGGCAGGCAGCUCAGGCCCCUGCUGAGAUGGAGAAUCUAGCAAACCUGUCCCGCUGAUUGAUUAAACACUGAGGAGGCUCCAAGACCCAAGCGUGAAAUUCCUUGGCUCUGAUUGUGCUAAGGGUAGAGCUCACUAAUGAAUGGAGUCUGAUUACAGCCCAGCCUCUCCAGUGCCUCCUGUUGCCCCAAUUUGGGGGAUUCUUCUGCUUCGAGUACAUCAUGGAAAGCAGCACAGAGUUCUCAGCAGGAUCUGCGAUGUCUGAUCCAAGAAAGAUUUUUGUUGUUGUCGUCAUUGUUGUUUUUUAAUCCUGAUCAUUGCUCUCAAACCCUUCUCUACACAGCUUGGCGUGGGGGGUAGUUGAUUUCCAGUGAAACCGGGUGGAAGCAGUGCCACUGCCACCUGUGAGGAGGAAAUGGGCAACAGUCGGCUUCAUCCGUCCUGAACGCUCAGGCCUGAAUGUUCCAAACUGAUGCUAAACUGAGACUCUCUGAAGGCCCAUGGGGAAGCCUGGCAUUGUGUAGCCAUUUCUUCCAGCAAGGCUCUCCCCUCACAUUCACAGCCUGCCACUUAAAGCUUUGGGAGACAAUGUAGUUGACCUGUAGUUCUUCCUGUAUGUGGCUCCUGGUCAGUCACUGGGCAAGGAGGAGGCUGCAGGCAUUGUGCUAUCCCCUUAUCUCUCUCUCUGUCUGUCUCUUAUCUAGUUCAAAUCAGCAAAUGGAGCUUGGUCCUUCGUUUGUAAAGUAAGGGGGUGGAAAAUUAUCCCUAAGUUACCUCCUGGUUUAGAAAAGUCUUAAUGCUGUUUUAUAAUAACUCACCCACCUCUCCUCUUCCAUGAGCUCAGAGCGGCCCAGCCCUUGGAAUGUGUUUCUGCCACGACAAGGAAUACAGGAGGAGUUGAACAGGAAACCUGCCUCCUAUCAGAUUCACCUGAGGACGUGGGUUGUCACGAGCUCCCCAAACAAUAAAGCACUUUACGACAUAGGAGGCAUUAUUAUUAAGCUGUUUUCAGUCCCUGAUACCUGCAUGUUGUAGGACCAUGGUGCAUGAAGGAUUUUAAGGAGGCACUUUUGAAAUGUGAAAGGGACAUAGACUGUACAUCUGGAGCACAAAGGCAGGUUUAACCAGCUUUGUCCUGCUCGGCGCCAGUUGGAAGAGAGCAUCUGGCUUUGAAGUGUCUAAAGCCAGGCGUGACGCUGGAUUCUACAGCUGGUAUGUGUUUCCUUAGACUUUCUGAGGGAAAGAGAAAGGAGUGAGAAGGGAAUGUGGAACUAAUUCCCACAUUAAUUGAAGACAAUAAGGAGACAGCAGAAUACUUGCUUCAGUCAUGAGGCCCCUGGAACAGAAGAACUAUGUCACAUACCAAAGGACAGCAUAACCCACAAUAAGCCCCCACCUCAAAACCCACAGACUAUUACCCCAUACUGUGGCAUAAACUUGAGAUGCAUAAUUGUAUUAAGCCGGUGUCUUCUGUGACUUGUGCUUGACCCCUGCCUAACCUCCAGGUAAAGGAAAAGUGAGAGCCAUGGCUCCAUGACUAACUCCCUUCCCUCUGCCCUGUUGGAUUCCCUGGCAAUCUGCAGGAGUGUUCUGAGACAGAGGCUGCAGUGGUCUCUGGGCCACUCCAGAGGAAUAGUGACCCUGAGUAUGGUGUCAAGGUUGGAUAAGGGGGCUUAGAGCACCUCACUAAAAGCCUUCCUUUCCUGUCUGAUUGCAUACAGCCAGGGCAAAGCUGGUGGGGUAGGGCUAAGGACCUUUCAUACCUAAAAGACCUCUGUAGUUCAUCUUGGUUACAACAUAUUUCUUCCACUUCCUUUCCUACCCCAAAUGAAAAUUCCACCUUCCUGGACUCAUUCUCAGGAGCAUUUAUUUACAUUUUAUUUUAAGAUAAUUGUAGCUUGACAUGUAAUCGUGAGAGAUAAAACAGAGAGACCCU
This is a long non-coding RNA of Homo sapiens (human), 4140 nucleotides long. Ensembl annotates it as long intergenic non-protein coding RNA 1630. The record is from Ensembl. NCBI's taxonomy places the organism in Eukaryota, Metazoa, Chordata, Mammalia, Primates, Hominidae.